RNAcentral lists this ribosomal RNA (493 nucleotides) under uncultured bacterium. RNAcentral's name for it is "partial 16S ribosomal RNA". It matches the Rfam family "Bacterial small subunit ribosomal RNA", at positions 30 to 523 of the family's 1533-position model. The record is from RNAcentral.
AUUGAACGCUGGCGGCAUGCUUUACACAUGCAAGUCGAACGGUAACAGGUUAAGCUGACGAGUGGCGAACGGGUGAGUAAUGCAUCGGAACGUGCCCAGUCGUGGGGGAUAACGCAGCGAAAGCUGCGCUAAUACCGCAUACGAUCUAAGGAUGAAAGCGGGGGACCGUAAGGCCUCGCGCGAUCGGAGCGGCCGAUGUCAGAUUAGGUAGUUGGUGGGGUAAAGGCUCACCAAGCCAACGAUCUGUAGCUGGUCUGAGAGGACGACCAGCCACACUGGGAUUGAGACACGGCCCAGACUCCUACGGGAGGCAGCAGUGGGGAAUUUUGGACAAUGGGCGAAAGCCUGAUCCAGCAAUGCCGCGUGCAGGAAGAAGGCCUUCGGGUUGUAAACUGCUUUUGUACGGAGCGAAAAGGUCUCCUCUAAUACAGGGGGCUCAUGACGGUACCGUAAGAAUAAGCACCGGCUAACUACGUGCCAGCCGCCGCAGUAA